AGGCUGAAGACUUUGCCGGAUUUAGCUGAGAGGUGGUGCAUGGCCGUCGUCAGUUCGUACUGUGAAGCAUCCUGUUAAGUCAGGCAACGAGCCGAGACCCACGCCCACAGUUGCCAGCGUACUCUCUGGAGUGACGGGUACACUGUGGGGACCGCCGCUGCUAAAGCGGAGGAAGGAAUGGGCAACGGUAGGUCAGUAUGCCCCGAAUAUCCCGGGCUACACGCGAGCUACAAUGGUUGGUACAAUGGGUAUCUACCCCCGAAAGGGGACGGGAAUCUCCUAAAACCAAUCUUAGUUCGGAUUGAGGGCUGCAACUCGCCCUCAUGAAGCUGGAAUCCGUAGUAAUCGUGUCUCAAAAUGGCACGGUGAAUAUGUCCCUGCUCCUU
RNAcentral lists this ribosomal RNA (386 nucleotides) under uncultured Methanosaeta sp. Its description in RNAcentral is "bacterial SSU rRNA". It matches the Rfam family "Archaeal small subunit ribosomal RNA", at positions 956 to 1338 of the family's 1478-position model. The record is from RNAcentral. Lineage: Archaea; Methanobacteriati; Methanobacteriota; Methanomicrobia; Methanotrichales; Methanotrichaceae.